Molecule: transfer RNA, 67 nt
Filed under: Ictidomys tridecemlineatus (thirteen-lined ground squirrel)
Lineage: Eukaryota; Metazoa; Chordata; Mammalia; Rodentia; Sciuridae
Description: Spermophilus tridecemlineatus (thirteen-lined ground squirrel) tRNA
Rfam family: tRNA
About the family: Transfer RNA (tRNA) molecules are approximately 80 nucleotides in length. Their secondary structure includes four short double-helical elements and three loops (D, anti-codon, and T loops). Further hydrogen bonds mediate the characteristic L-shaped molecular structure. tRNAs have two regions of fundamental functional importance: the anti-codon, which is responsible for specific mRNA codon recognition, and the 3' end, to which the tRNAs corresponding amino acid is attached (by aminoacyl-tRNA synthetases). tRNAs cope with the degeneracy of the genetic code in two manners: having more than one tRNA (with a specific anti-codon) for a particular amino acid; and 'wobble' base-pairing, i.e. permitting non-standard base-pairing at the 3rd anti-codon position.
Source: Rfam by way of RNAcentral
GGUUAUAGCUCAGAGGUGGAGCGCUUGCCUCACAUGUAAGAGUUACUGGGUUCGAUUCUCAGCACCA